Molecule: ribosomal RNA, 402 nt
Filed under: uncultured bacterium
Lineage: Bacteria
Description: bacterial SSU rRNA
Rfam family: Bacterial small subunit ribosomal RNA
Source: RNAcentral
UAGGGAAUUUUCCACAAUGGGGGCAACCCUGAUGGAGCAACGCCGCGUGCAGGAUGAAUGUCUUCGGAUUGUAAACUGCUUUUCUCUGUGACGAAUAUGACGGUAGCAGAGGAAUAAGGACCUGCUAACUACGUGCCAGCAGCCGCGGUCAUACGUAGGGUCCAAGCGUUAUCCGGAAUUACUGGGCGUAAAGAGUUGCGUAGGUGGCAUGUUAAGCGAAUAGUGAAAUGACGAGGCUCAACCUCGUGUCCAUUAUUUGAACUGGCAAGCUAGAGAAUGAGAGAGGUCACUGGAAUUCCUUGUGUAGGAGUGAAAUCCGUAGAUAUAGGGAGGAACACCGAUGGCGUAGGCAGGUGACUGGCUCAUUUCUGACACUAAGGCACGAAAGCGUGGGGAGCAAAC